Molecule: ribosomal RNA, 497 nt
Filed under: uncultured bacterium
Lineage: Bacteria
Description: bacterial SSU rRNA
Rfam family: Bacterial small subunit ribosomal RNA
Source: RNAcentral
AACGAACGCUGGCGGCGUGGAUAAGACAUGCAAGUCGAACGCUCAUUUGCCUGCAGCAAUGUGGGUGAGUGGGAGUGGCGCAAGGGUGCGUAACACGUGGGUAAUUUGCCGCGAAGUUGGGGAUAACUCGCUGAAAGGCGAGCUAAUACCGGAUGUGGUAGGCUGGUGGCAUCAUUGGCUUGACCAAAGUUGGGGACCCGCAAGGGCCUGACGCUUCGCGAUAAGCCCGCGGCCUAUCAGCUAGUUGGUGAGGUAACGGCUCACCAAGGCUAAGACGGGUAGCUGGUCUGAGAGGACGACCAGCCACACUGGAACUGAGAGACGGUCCAGACACCCACGGGUGGCAGCAGUCGAGAAUUUUUCACAAUGGGCGCAAGCCUGAUGGAGCGACGCCGCGUGGGGAUGAAGGGCUUCGGAUUGUAAACCACUGUCGGGAGGGACGAAUACGCCGCAAGGCGGGUGACGGUACCUCCAAAGGAAGCACCGGCUAACUCCGU